RNAcentral lists this ribosomal RNA (586 nucleotides) under uncultured bacterium. RNAcentral describes it as "bacterial SSU rRNA". It matches the Rfam family "Bacterial small subunit ribosomal RNA", at positions 224 to 801 of the family's 1533-position model. The record is from RNAcentral.
GAUGGACCCGCGGUGCAUUAGCUAGUUGGUGAGGUAACGGCUCACCAAGGCAACGAUGCAUAGCCGACCUGAGAGGGUGAUCGGCCACACUGGGACUGAGACACGGCCCAGACUCCUACGGGAGGCAGCAGUAGGGAAUCUUCGGCAAUGGACGAAAGUCUGACCGAGCAACGCCGCGUGAGUGAAGAAGGUUUUCGGAUCGUAAAACUCUGUUGUUAGAGAAGAACAAGGAUGAGAGUAAAACGUUCAUCCCUUGACGGUAUCUAACCAGAAAGCCACGGCUAACUACGUGCCAGCAGCCGCGGUAAUACGUAGGUGGCAAGCGUUGUCCGGAUUUAUUGGGCGUAAAGCGAGCGCAGGCGGUUUCUUAAGUCUGAUGUGAAAGCCCCCGGCUCAACCGGGGAGGGUCAUUGGAAACUGGGAGACUUGAGUGCAGAAGAGGAGAGUGGAAUUCCAUGUGUAGCGGUGAAAUGCGUAGAUAUAUGGAGGAACACCAGUGGCGAAGGCGGCUCUCUGGCCUGUAACUGACGCUGAGGCUCGAAAGCGUGGGGAGCGAACAGGAUUAGAUACCCUGGUAGUCCACGCC